Molecule: ribosomal RNA, 429 nt
Filed under: Acidobacteriota bacterium
Lineage: Bacteria; Pseudomonadati; Acidobacteriota
Description: Acidobacteria bacterium partial 16S ribosomal RNA
Rfam family: Bacterial small subunit ribosomal RNA
Source: RNAcentral
UGGGGAAUUUUGGACAAUGGGGGAAACCCUGAUCCAGCCAUCCCGCGUGUGCGAUGAAGGCCUUCGGGUUGUAAAGCACUUUUGGCAGGAAAGAAACGUCAUGGGUUAAUACCCCGUGAAACUGACGGUACCUGCAGAAUAAGCACCGGCUAACUACGUGCCAGCAGCCGCGGUAAUACGUAGGGUGCAAGCGUUAAUCGGAAUUACUGGGCGUAAAGCGUGCGCAGGCGGUUCGGAAAGAAAGAUGUGAAAUCCCAGAGCUCAACUUUGGAACUGCAUUUUUAACUGCCGGGCUAGAGUGUGUCAGAGGUAGGUGGAAUUCCGCGUGUAGCAGUGAAAUGCGUAGAUAUGCGGAGGAACACCGAUGGCGAAGGCAGCUUCCUGGGAGAACACUGACGCUCAUGCACGAAAGCGUGGGGAGCAAACAGG